RNAcentral lists this ribosomal RNA (444 nucleotides) under uncultured bacterium. RNAcentral's name for it is "bacterial SSU rRNA". It matches the Rfam family "Bacterial small subunit ribosomal RNA", at positions 552 to 995 of the family's 1533-position model. The record is from RNAcentral.
UACUGGGCGUAAAGCGCGCGUAGGCGGAUAUUUAAGUCAGAUGUGAAAUCCCUGGGCUCAACCUAGGAACUGCAUUUGAUACUGGAUAUCUAGAGUAUGGUAGAGGUGAGUGGAAUUUCAGGUGUAGCGGUGAAAUGCGUAGAGAUCUGAAGGAACAUCAGUGGCGAAGGCGACUCACUGGGCCAUUACUGACGCUGAGGUGCGAAAGCGUGGGUAGCAAACAGGAUUAGAUACCCUGGUAGUCCACGCCCUAAACGAUGUCAACUAGGUGUAUGGGAGUUUAACUCCUGUGUAUCGAAGCUAACGCGAUAAGUUGACCGCCUGGGGAGUACGGUCGCAAGACUAAAACUCAAAUGAAUUGACGGGGGCCCGCACAAGCGGUGGAGCAUGUGGUUUAAUUCGAUGCAACGCGAAGAACCUUACCUGGUCUUGACAUGUAGCGAA